UCUUCGUCACGUAUUCGGCGCGAGAUGGCAACAAUGAAUAUUCGGAGUUUCGCUGUAAUUGUUGUCUUGUGCACAUUUCUCUUGCCGGCAACAGCUCAAGAGCCGGCUUCAGAAGACUUGACGCUCCGUGGGAGAAGUGGAUGGCAUCAACCGUAUUGGCCGAAUUGGCAUUGGCCGAAUUGGCAUUGGCCCGGUUGGCCUAUAUGGCCCAAGUGCCCAUGGGGCGAAGUGUACAAGCAGUGUGCCAGCAGCAGCUGUGGUGAGAAAAGGUGCUCCGACAUUGGCCGACCUCGGCCUGGCUGCACGCGUGAUUGCCAAAGUCGUUGUUUUUGUAUGAAGGGUCUGUACAGAAAUGGUCGUGGAAGAUGCGUACCCAAAUGGCGAUGUCAUAAAGCUGGAUUCGUCACGCCGGUGCCCUAUGGAACCGAAUAGGGGGCUCGAAUAGCAUAUGAAUGACAUUGAAAAAAUGCAUUCAAAAACAAACGAGAGUUUUUUUUUUUGUCUUUAGACGGAUGGAUUGUAAUAAAGGCUAAAUAAAUGUUGCGUUGAAGUCA
Long non-coding RNA from Rhipicephalus microplus (southern cattle tick), 554 nucleotides. The record is from RefSeq and is a predicted model, not a curated record. Lineage: Eukaryota; Metazoa; Arthropoda; Arachnida; Ixodida; Ixodidae.